CCCUACUGCUAUCGGGGUGGGACUAAGACAUGCGAGUCGAGCGUCUCCAGCUAUGGUGAGACGCGGCAGACGGCUCAGUAACACGUGGCUAACCUACCCUCAGGACAGGGACAAACCCGGGAAACUGGGGCUAAUACCCGAUAGGCGAGGGCGCCUGGAAUGGUUCUUCACCCAAAGGGCUUUGGAAGCAUGCUUUUCAAAGUCGCCUGGGGAUGGGGCCGCGUCCGAUCAGGUUGUUGGUGAGGUAACGGCUCACCAAGCCUAUAACCGGUACGGGCCGUGAGAGCGGUAGCCCGGAGAUGGGCACUGAGACAAGGGCCCAGGCCCUACGGGGCGCAGCAGUCGCGAAAACUCCGCAAUGCACGAAAGUGUGACGGGGCUACCCCGAGUGCCGUCCGCUGAGGAUGGCUUUUCCUCGGUGUAACUAGCCGGGGGAAUAAGGAGAGGGCAAGACUGGUGUCAGCCGCCGCGGUAAUACCAGCUCUCCGAGUGGUAGGGAUGAUUAUUGGGCUUAAAGCGUCCGUAGCCGGCUUAGCAAGUCUCCUGUUAAAUUCAGCGACCUAAUCGUUGAGCCGCGGGAGAUACUACUAGGCUAGGAGGCGGGAGAGGUCGACGGUACUUCCGGGGUAGGGGUGAAAUCCUAUAAUCCCGGGCGGACCACCAGUGGCGAAGGCUGUCGACUAGAACGCGCUCGACGGUGAGGGACGAAAGCUGGGGGAGCGAACCGGAUUAGAUACCCGGGUAGUCCCAGCCGUAAACGAUGCGGGCUAGGUGUUGGGGUGGCUACGUGCCACUUCAGUGCCGCAGGGAAGCCAUUAAGCCCGCCGCCUGGGGAGUACGGCCGCAAGGCUGAAACUUAAAGGAAUUGGCGGGGGAGCACCACAAGGCGUGAAGCUUGCGGUUC
This 904-nucleotide ribosomal RNA is filed under the name uncultured archaeon. RNAcentral's name for it is "bacterial SSU rRNA". It matches the Rfam family "Archaeal small subunit ribosomal RNA", at positions 21 to 903 of the family's 1478-position model. The record is from RNAcentral.